Non-coding RNA from Oncorhynchus mykiss (rainbow trout), 194 nucleotides. The record is from RefSeq and is a predicted model, not a curated record. Lineage: Eukaryota; Metazoa; Chordata; Actinopteri; Salmoniformes; Salmonidae.
CCUCUAUACUGUAACUUUAUAUCAGAGGUCAGAGGUCAGGGUUAGUAGUAGUACCUCUAUACUGUAACUUUAUAUCAGAGGUCAGACGUAUACUGUAGCGUUUAUAUCAGAGGUCAGAGGUCAGGGUUAGUAGUAGUACCUCUAUACUGUAACUUUAUAUCAGAGGUCAGAGGUCAGGGUUUGUAGUAGUACCU